UACGGAGGGGGCUAGCGUUGUUCGGAAUUACUGGGCGUAAAGCGCACGUAGGCGGCUUUGCAAGUUAGAGGUGAAAGCCCGGGGCUCAACUCCGGAAUUGCCUUUAAAACUGCAUCGCUAGAAUUGUGGAGAGUAAGUGGAAUUCCGAGUGUAGAGGUGAAAUUCGAUAGAUAUUCGGAAGAACACCAGUGGCGAAGGCGACUUACUGGACACAUAUUGACGCUGAGGUGCGAAAGCGUGGGGAGCAAACAGGG
This 254-nucleotide ribosomal RNA is filed under the name uncultured bacterium. RNAcentral's name for it is "partial 16S ribosomal RNA". It matches the Rfam family "Bacterial small subunit ribosomal RNA", at positions 524 to 777 of the family's 1533-position model. The record is from RNAcentral.